This is a long non-coding RNA of Gallus gallus (chicken), 1009 nucleotides long. RefSeq lists it as uncharacterized. Lineage: Eukaryota; Metazoa; Chordata; Aves; Galliformes; Phasianidae. The transcript is spliced from 2 exons. The record is from RefSeq and is a predicted model, not a curated record.
GCCUCUGCGCCGCGGGGCCCGAGCCGCCGCGGCGAGUCGUCACCCGCAGGUUUUUAUGAACUCUUAAGAGCGUAAGUGUGGGCUAUUCCGGGACAGGAAUCACAUCUUAAGGGCUGAUUGUCCACCAGGAAUUUGACUGACAGACCCCGACCACGGAGAUUGUUUGCUCUGCACCACAGCCUUUCUGCUUCGUGCUAAGGGAUAUGAGUGGGAUGGUAACAGAUGAUUCAAAGGGGCAGAUGUGACCCAAAAUCCAUGCAAAGCUUCUGCUGAAGAAGGAAUCACCUGAGGUGAAGGGCACUUUCAAGGCUCCUGAGAUCGAAAGGGGUGCAGUGAAGCUCUGCUGAUUAGCCUCCUGCUAAUUCCUCUGGAAAGGCUGUUUUUUACUAUGGAGAUUCCAAGUCUGGUUUAUUUUUUCACCAGUUUUGAGACACACAGACUCUGUGGGAUCAAGAUGUUGCUGGUUUAAGCCACAGCUGUAAUACAUCACAGCGUUCUGUCAGCACACAACGACCUGCACUGCAGUGCCAGCCAUCUCUAAGGACUGUCACAAGGAAGCUGCCAUCCUUCAGAUUCUAUCCACCACAAUUCUGGAAUUCUAGUCAGAGUUCUUUUUACCUGCCCUUUAAUAUGAUGAAUCUGCUCAUUUAAAGAUUGUUAAAAAAUGGUAUUCCCUACAGUUUUUCAUUCUUAGUGUUUCUGUUAGUGUUUUCAAAUGAUGGCUUGUUCUCACACACUUUCCUGUGCUGGUUUAGGUCAUUUCUUCCAAAAGAGCAGUAAACUACUGACACAGUGUAUAAAGCUUUGAGGAUGGCUGUUUUUCUCUUGACCUAGUAACUGGAAGUUGUGACAGAUGUUAACUGUUUUUUUCAUUGUACUCCCUGCAGGGGACACAUACUACUGUUCUCUCAGCAGCUUUUUGAAGCAAUUUUGACAUGCCCAUUCCCUAAGUGUGUAUCACUGAACACUGUGAAUCUUAAUAAAAGAGACUCUUAAAAGCCAGCCCAAA